This 430-nucleotide ribosomal RNA is filed under the name uncultured bacterium. RNAcentral's name for it is "bacterial SSU rRNA". It matches the Rfam family "Archaeal small subunit ribosomal RNA", at positions 339 to 776 of the family's 1478-position model. The record is from RNAcentral.
GCGAGAAAACUUUGCAAUGUGCGAAAGCACGACAAGGUUAAUCCGAGUGGUUUCUGCUAAAGAAACCUUUUGUCAGUCCUAGAAACACUAACGAAUAAGGGGUGGGCAAGUUCUGGUGUCAGCCGCCGCGGUAAAACCAGCACCUCAAGUGGUCAGGAUGAUUAUUGGGCCUAAAGCAUCCGUAGCUCGUUUUGUAAGUUUUCGGUUAAAUCCAUGCGCUUAACGUAUGGGCUGCCGGGAAUACUGCAUAACUAGGAAGUGGGAGAGGUAGACGGUACUCGGUAGGAAGGGGUAAAAUCCUUUGAUCUAUUGAUGACCACCUGUGGCGAAGGCGGUCUACCAGAACACGUUCGACGGUGAGGGAUGAAAGCUGGGGGAGCAAACCGGAUUAGAUACCCUCGUAGUCCCUGAGCGGGCUGGCAAGGCGCAU